AGAGUUUGAUCAUGGCUCAGAACGAACGCUGGCGGCGUGGAUAAGACAUGCAAGUCGAGCGAGAUUUUUUCCUGUAGCAAUACAGGGAAGAGUCUAGCGGCGAACGGGUGCUUAACACGUGGGCAACCUGCCGAGAAGUGGGGGAUAGCUCGCCGAAAGGCGAAUUAAUACCGCAUGUGAUUAGAAAGGACAUCCUUUCGAAAUCAAAGUCGGGGCAACCUGACGCUUUUUGUGGGGCCCGCGGCCUAUCAGCUAGUUGGUGAGGUAACGGCUCACCAAGGCUUUGACGGGUAGCUGGUCUGAGAGGACGACCAGCCACACUGGGACUGAGACACGGCCCAGACACCUACGGGUGGCAGCAGUCGAGAAUUUUUCUCAAUGGGGGAAACCCUGAAGGAGCGACGCCGCGUGGAGGAUGAAGGUCUUCGGAUUGUAAACUCCUGUCAUUGGGGAACAAGGUGCAUACGUUAACUGCGUGUGCAUUGAUAGUACCCGAAGAGGAAGAGACGGCUAACUCUGUGCCAGCAGCCGCGGUAAUACAGAGGUCUCAAGCGUUGUUCGGAUUCAUUGGGCGUAAAGGGUGCGUAGGCGGCGCGGUAAGUCGGGUGUGAAAUCUUGGAGCUUAACUCCGAAACUGCAUUCGAUACUGCCGUGCUUGAGGACUGGAGAGGAGACUGGAAUUUACGGUGUAGCGGUGAAAUGCGUAGAUAUCGUAAGGAAGACCAGUGGCGAAGGCGGGUCUCUGGACAGUUCCUGACGCUGAGGCACGAAGGCCAGGGGAGCAAACGGGAUUAGAUACCCCAGUAGUCC
Molecule: ribosomal RNA, 810 nt
Filed under: uncultured bacterium
Lineage: Bacteria
Description: bacterial SSU rRNA
Rfam family: Bacterial small subunit ribosomal RNA
Source: RNAcentral